This 496-nucleotide ribosomal RNA is filed under the name uncultured bacterium. RNAcentral's name for it is "partial 16S ribosomal RNA". It matches the Rfam family "Bacterial small subunit ribosomal RNA", at positions 29 to 507 of the family's 1533-position model. The record is from RNAcentral.
AUGCACGCUGGCGGCGUGCCUAAUACAUGCAAGUCGAGCGAACAGACGAGGAGCUUGCUCCUCUGACGUUAGCGGCGGACGGGUGAGUAACACGUGGAUAACCUACCUAUAAGACUGGGAUAACUUUGGGAAACCGGAGCUAAUACCGGAUAAUAUAUUGAACCGCAUGGUUCAAUAGUGAAAGACGGUUUUGCUGUCACUUAUAGAUGGAUCCGCGCCGCAUUAGCUAGUUGGUAAGGUAACGGCUUACCAAGGCGACGAUGCGUAGCCGACCUGAGAGGGUGAUCGGCCACACUGGAACUGAGACACGGUCCAGACUCCUACGGGAGGCAGCAGUAGGGAAUCUUCCGCAAUGGGCGAAAGCCUGACGGAGCAACGCCGCGUGAGUGAUGAAGGUCUUCGGAUCGUAAAACUCUGUUAUUAGGGAAGAACAAAUGUGUAAGUAACUAUGCACGUCUUGACGGUACCUAAUCAGAAAGCCACGGCUAACUACGUG